UCCUUUCACAGAGACUUCUUCCCAACAGUAUUUCCCGCUGGCACGCCACGUGGGAUUUAUUUUGGUAUUUGCCGUUUGUAGACUUCCUGGGAAGAGAGGUGACCCUGGAUCUACAGCUCUUAUGCAGAAUUUGUGCUGAAGCAACUUCAUGAAACAGAGUACAAAUAAGACAGGACAAUGAAAGCUACUGAAAUAUGAAGGUUUUCACUUCCAGCCCUUAUGUUCCAGCACAUCCUUCAACCUGGAAGAAAACACAAUCUAGGAUGUGGUAGUGAUCUCCUUAUUACUGACCUGCUGUCAGCAGCAAAUAGAAGUUUUUGCAGCCUUGAGA
This is a non-coding RNA of Cyanistes caeruleus (blue tit), 331 nucleotides long. Lineage: Eukaryota; Metazoa; Chordata; Aves; Passeriformes; Paridae. The record is from RefSeq and is a predicted model, not a curated record.